Molecule: long non-coding RNA, 389 nt
Filed under: Phoenix dactylifera (date palm)
Lineage: Eukaryota; Viridiplantae; Streptophyta; Magnoliopsida; Arecales; Arecaceae
Description: long non-coding RNA (PDAC_LNC000092)
Source: RNAcentral
GAUCAUUUAAAAGAUAAUAAGGAGUGCAAGAUCUACUUACAAGUUCAAAAACUAAUAAGGAGUACAAGAUUUACUUACCUCUUUCAUUUUAGAUUGUCAAACUUUAGUAGACAAUUCAGUUAACCCUAUAAAAAUAUUAAAAACAAAAUUAAUUUUGGUUUGACAAUUUUAAUCAAAUUAAAUAACAAGAAAUAGGGACGAUUGUUCGACGAUUCCAGGUGGGCCAGGCUCGAGCAAUUUGAUUAGUAAAUCAUAAGCAAUGGACUCGAUCAGGGCCAAGGUCGUUUAAUAUAGUCCAUCGGACCAAUGGACACUAGAUAAGGCCGGGUGAUUGGUCCAGUAGGCGACUCGAGAACCAAGGCAAUUUAGCGACUCAUUUCAGGGGUCAA